Cinara cedri is the source of this 3973-nucleotide non-coding RNA. The record is from the annotation of a GenBank genome assembly. Lineage: Eukaryota; Metazoa; Arthropoda; Insecta; Hemiptera; Aphididae.
AAUGAACUUUGCCAGCCUCAGUCAUGACUUGUGUUUUCGUCAAAAUCGUAUUCUGCGUAGUCGCUUUAACAUUAUAAUUGGUCCGAAAAUUCGUCACUUUCUAGAGCGAAUUGUAAUUACGAGGCCGCAAAUACGUGACUUUACAACGCGAUACACAGGACGAUCUACCAAAGAUCGGAUACAAACAUUGAAACAAUUAAAUAUUAUAAUAGGUACAUUGCGUCCCAACGCAAUUACAGGAUCAUCAAUAACAUCAUUAAAAUGACGUUAAUAUUUCGAAGUUUAACUUUGUUCGUCAGUUUUAAUUGCAUGUUAUUCAUAACUGGGGUAAGUACCUAUUAUGUUUUUUACAUUUUACUCAGAAAUAAUUAAAAAUAGUGGCACAGGAACUAUAUUUGAUGUGGGGUAUCCAAAUAUGUAGAUGGUAUAAUUUUCCAUAGUUACACUAUAUUUCCCGGAACCCAUUUUCCUCUCCGCGGUAUGUAGGAGAUGUGCUCACUUCCUCUAUGUGGUUUUUUUCUACACUCCCAGCAGUGCUCAAAAUGGAAAACGAAUUGAAUCGUAAAACAUCAUUAAAAAAAAAUACUUAUAGCAUAAAUAUAGUAUAUUUAAUGUUUAUUGUUUAUAUUAUUUGUUGAUAGAAAUCACAAGCUUUUUUUCUUUAUGAAAAUUUGAACAGAAAUUUCAUUGUCGUUUAUUUCAAAUGUGACUUAAAUUAAUACUAACAAAACAUAAUUUAAAAGUAUAAAAACAAAAUUUAAUUCAAUUUCUGUAUAUAUUUGUAUAGUUUUUUCAGUGGCAACUUCUAAAGUCCGUUAAAAAAUAUCUUAGACAAUCUGAGUUCGGGCCUAAUUUACACAGAUUAGAGAGAGAGAGAAAGAGAGAGAGAGAGAGAGAGAAAUAUUAUUUCCCGUUUUCAUACACCUAUCUGUCCACUCAUAUUACUUAAUAAGCAAUAAGAAAAUCAUUGGCUGUUUUUUAUUCAUCUGUCCGUUCGCUUAAAACAGUGGUUCCCAACCUUUUUGAAACUAUGGACCAGUCAGAGAACUUUCGACACGUCUCGAACCACCUCAAUUUCAGACCUAAUUUUUUUAUAAACAAAAAUCAAUUAUUUUAACAUAUUUUAGAAUUUAGAUUAUGAAUAAAUAAAAUCAAUGAAAUUCUUAAUAGGUUCUUUCUUAUGAUAAUGUUUAAAAUUAAUCAAUUUUAAGAAAAGUCUAAAAUUAUCAACAAUUUAACACUAAUUACUAUUAUAAAAACAAUUUAAUGCGAUUUUUGGGCUUAAAUUUCCUUCAAUUACAAAAAUAUUCUUGGGGGAAUACUGCUCAAAGCUACACGCAUGUCUUUAGUGGUGUUCAACCGGUUUAUUUGUUUAUUUUUAAUAUAGAGUAAUCCGAAAAAUUUGUUGAAAACAUCACUAAACAUCUUAAUGAGAUUUCCCAAUGCUUAGGAUACAUAAUUGCUUUUUACACCAAAGCUCUUCGAUAUGUAUGUAAGAUUCAAACCUAUCCUUACAGUUUCGAUCGUUUUGUAAUCCUAUCAAAUCUUCCUGGUUAUUAUCAGGUACCUCAUCAACGUUAACAAUAAAAGAGUUUCAAAUCAUACUUCGGAUACCUAUCAUUUCGAAACCAUUAAACCUUUAAGUUUAAAGUUUUAAAGUUUACUAAACAUAACUGUCGGUAUUUGUUUCACGUCCCAAUGGAAAAAUGAAAUAUUUUUAAAUAUCUAGAUAUUGCUCGUGGACCACAAUAAUGUUUUGAGAAACACCAGUGGUCCAUGGACUAUUGGUUGGGAACCUUUGGUUUGAAAUAAUGUUUUGGCCGCUAAUUUUAGGCCCCUAAUUUUAGGCCCAUAAAUGCAAUGGGCCUGUGGUUUAUUGUCUGUCAUGUCACACUAUUGCUACGUCACUACACUAAGUGUUAACUUUUAUACAUUAUAACUCAGCAAAUUACACUAAUUUGUGUAGUGAUAAUUUCACAGAAAUAAAAUCAAUUGCAACUGGCUUUUUGAAACCAUAAAAUCAUAAUAUAAAAAAUUACAUUAUGAUAUUAUUAUAUUAAUAUUAUUUUUAUAUAUAAAACCAUAAUAUCAGUUAUGUUGUAAAAUAAUGAAAUAGUAUUUAUUUUAAAUUCAAAUAAUAUUAAAUAUUUGUUUUUGUUAUUCAUAAAGUUUACGUAGACUACACAUAACUCGCUUAAUUUUGAUUUUAGAGUUAAAACAUCUUUUAUAAAAUCAAAAGAGAACAAUAUUCUGGGAGGUAAAACGUUGCAUUUUUAAAAAUUUUUUUCCGAAUAUAACAGUUAAUUUAUCGUUUAUAAAUAACGACUUUUUCAACGUAUUUUUAAUUAGCUAAAACUUUUAAAAAAAAUACAUUUUCCAAAAAAACGCAACAUCUCGUCCUCCAGAAUAUUGUUUUCUAUUCAUUUUACAAAAGGUGCUUUUACUCUAAAACCAAAACUAAGCGAGUUCUGUGUAGUCUGCGUAAGCAUGUUUUCACUAUAACUUGUGUUAGUAAAACAGAAACAACAAAUGCAUGUGUAACCUGCUCUUAUGACGUAGGUAUAAUUAUUAUGUUUUAUAUUACCGGCCAAACCCGAUUUCAGGAUGAACUAGUUUAUCUUUUACACCAAAUGUGUUAAGCCUUUAAAACAUCGGUAAUAUGUAUAAUAAAUACGUAUGUAUACCUACAGAGCGAUACAAAAUGCAUGUUACAGCCAUUUUACCGUGUAAAUAUUAUUCAAAAUAGAGAAAAAUGUAUAAUACAAAAGUUUUUCGAUUUAUAAACAUCUAAAAUAAUAUGUACAUUUUUUUUCUUGAUGUCUUUUUUGGGGAGAGGGAAAGGUUUCGGGUUAACUUUUUAGUUUAGGUAGGGAUGGAAUAGUGGAACACUGUAUGCGUUCGUGUGGUAGUACGGCACGGCGCGCGGCGUUUGAAUUGUGAAUAAUUCCACUACUCUCCUCCUACAUAAACUAAAAAAUGGAAAAUCUCGUAAUCCUGCCGACGGGAUGACGAAAAUCAAAAAUUUUCAACACUAAUAUGUAUUUGAACUGACAUUAUAUCUAUUUACGGAACUUUGAAUAUAGGUUUUCAUUUGAAAUUCAAAAGUUGACCUCAAAAAAAAGUAAAAAAAAGUAAAAAAAAAAACAAACUAAACUACAAAUCUACAAAUUAUUUUAGAUACCUAUUUGUAAUUUUAAAAUCUUUUGUAUUGUAUAUUUUUUUUUUUUAUUGAUUUUGAAUAUUUACAUGAUAAAAUAGCCGUAACAUAAAUUUGGAAUCAACUUGCAGUAUAGUCCAGUGGUUCCCGAUUAGCAUUGAGCCACGGACCCCUAGUUAAAACUUAAAUUGGACGGGGGACCCCUUAUUUGUGUAUACUUACUUUUCAAUUUUGUUUAAUUAUAAAAAUGAAUAUGAUUUAUUUUAAUAAAUUGGCGGACCACCAAUUGGGAACCACUGGUAUAGUCAGUCGAUAUAGAACAUAUUAAAUCUACUCCAUCCCCGUUCGGUGUUUUUUUUUUUUUUUUCUGUAACAAUAACAGAGUAAAAUAGUCGUUUUUAGACGUAGACAACCCCCCCGCCCCUUCCCGCCGAACGAAAUGGAAUAGAUUGCGGUUGCGGUAGAUACGUUUUCGGUGUAGAUAGCAUGCGGCGCGAGUUCCCACAGUUUUCCAUCCUCAUUAAGAUUAAUUAACAGUUUCUAUAAACUAUCCGUAGUUUAUACAAACGCUAAUAAACGAUUUACAAUAUUUUCAAUUCAGUUUACAGCGCGAAAACACGACCACAGAUAAUUGUAUUAUACAGGUAGGUUUAAAAUGACAAUUGAAAUUUGCAGUUUUACAAUAUCCACAACGGUGUUCAUGAUAAUAAUGGCGCAGAUGCCCACUGUCCGUUUGAAACUUCCGUCAGUCAUCAAUGUCGCGUUUACGUUACGCAAAAUCGUUGAAGUCGUUUACCUGUCGGGUCGUCACGCACA